Molecule: ribosomal RNA, 1231 nt
Filed under: uncultured bacterium
Lineage: Bacteria
Description: bacterial SSU rRNA
Rfam family: Bacterial small subunit ribosomal RNA
Source: RNAcentral
UAACUGGAGAGUUUGAUCCUGGCUCAGAAUGAACGCUGGCGGCGUGCUUAACACAUGCAAGUCGAACGAGAAAGGGAUUGCUUGCAAUCCUGAGUAGAGUGGCGCACGGGUGAGUAACACGUAGAUAAUCUGCCUUCAAGCCUGGGAUAACUAUUCGAAAGGAUAGCUAAUACCGGAUAAAGUCGGUUUACACAAGUAGAUUGAUGAAAGAUUGCCUCUUCUUGAAAGCAAUUGUUUGGGGAUGAGUUUGCGUACCAUUAGCUUGUUGGUGGGGUAAAGGCCUACCAAGGCAACGAUGGUUAGCUGGUCUGAGAGGAUGAUCAGCCACACUGGAACUGGAACACGGUCCAGACUCCUACGGGAGGCAGCAGUGAGGAAUUUUGCGCAAUGGGGGAAACCCUGACGCAGCAACGCCGCGUGAGUGAAGAAGGCCUUUGGGUCGUAAAGCUCUGUCAACUGGGAAGAAAUUAGAUUUCCAUUAAUAGUGGUUUCUAUUGACGGUACCAGUGGAGGAAGCGCCGGCUAACUCCGUGCCAGCAGCCGCGGUAACACGGGGGCGCAAGCGUUAUUCGGAAUUAUUGGGCGUAAAGGGCGCGCAGGCGGUCUUGUCCGUCAGGUGUGAAAGCUCGGGGCUCAACCCCGGAAGUGCACUUGAAACAGCAAGACUUGAAUACGGGAGAGGAGAGAGGAAUUCCUGGUGUAGAGGUGAAAUUCGUAGAUAUCAGGAGGAACACCGAUGGCGAAGGCAUCUCUCUGGACCGAUAUUGACGCUGAGGCGCGAAGGCGUGGGUAGCGAACGGGAUUAGAUACCCCGGUAGUCCACGCAGUAAACGUUGUACACUCGGUGUGGCGGAUAUUAAAAUCUGCUGUGCCUAAGCUAACGCAUUAAGUGUACCGCCUGGGAAGUACGGUCGCAAGACUAAAACUCAAAAGGAAUUGACGGGGCCCGCACAAGCGGUGGAGCAUGUGGUUUAAUUCGACGCAACGCGAAGAACCUUACCUGGGUUUGACAUCCUGUGAAUAUCCCGUAAUUGGGAUAGUGCCUUCGGGAGCACAGAGACAGGUGCUGCAUGGCUGUCGUCAGCUCGUGUCGUGAGAUGUUUGGUUAAGUCCAGCAACGAGCGCAACCCUUAUCGUUAGUUGCCAGCACAUAAUGGUGGGAACUCUAACGAGACUGCCCGGGUCAACCGGGAGGAAGGUGGGGAUGACGUCAAGUCCUCAUGGCCCUUAU